Molecule: ribosomal RNA, 550 nt
Filed under: uncultured Bacteroides sp.
Lineage: Bacteria; Pseudomonadati; Bacteroidota; Bacteroidia; Bacteroidales; Bacteroidaceae
Description: bacterial SSU rRNA
Rfam family: Bacterial small subunit ribosomal RNA
Source: RNAcentral
CGCUAGCUCCUGGCUUAACACCUGCAAGUCGAGGGGCAGCGGGGUUGUCGCAAUACGACUGCCGGCGACCGGCGCACGGGUGAGUAACACGUAUCCAACCUUCCGGUUACUCGGGAAUAGCCUUUCGAAAGAAAGAUUAAUGCCCGAUGGUAUAACAAGUCUGCAUGGACUUGUUAUUAAAGAUUUAUCGGUAACCGAUGGGGAUGCGUUCCAUUAGGCAGUUGGCGGGGUAACGGCCCACCAAACCGACGAUGGAUAGGGGUUCUGAGAGGAAGGUCCCCCACAUUGGAACUGAGACACGGUCCAAACUCCUACGGGAGGCAGCAGUGAGGAAUAUUGGUCAAUGGGCGAGAGCCUGAACCAGCCAAGUAGCGUGAAGGAUGACUGCCCUAUGGGUUGUAAACUUCUUUUAUACGGGAAUAACAGGCGGCACGUGUGCCGUUCUGCAUGUACCGUAUGAAUAAGCAUCGGCUAACUCCGUGCCAGCAGCCGCGGUAAUACGGAGGAUGCGAGCGUUAUCCGGAUUUAUUGGGUUUAAAGGGAGCGCAGA